This 574-nucleotide ribosomal RNA is filed under the name uncultured bacterium. Its description in RNAcentral is "bacterial SSU rRNA". It matches the Rfam family "Bacterial small subunit ribosomal RNA", at positions 60 to 628 of the family's 1533-position model. The record is from RNAcentral.
AGUCGAGCGAGAAGGUGUAGCAAUACACUUGUAAAGCGGCGAACGGGUGAGGAAUGCAUGGGUAACCUACCCUCGAGUGGGGAAUAACUAGCCGAAAGGUUGGCUAAUACCGCAUACGUUUCCGGAACUUCGGUUUCGGAAAGAAAGCAAUACCGUGGGUAUUGCGCUCCUGGAUGGGCUCAUGUCCUAUCAGCUUGUUGGUGAGGUAACGGCUCACCAAGGCUUCGACGGGUAGCUGGUCUGAGAGGACGAUCAGCCACACUGGCACUGCGACACGGGCCAGACUCCUACGGGAGGCAGCAGUAAGGAAUAUUGCGCAAUGGACGAAAGUCUGACGCAGCGACGCCGCGUGGGGGAUGAAGGUCUUCGGAUUGUAAACCCCUUUCGGGAGGGAAGAUGGAGUGGGUAACCACUUGGACGGUACCUCCAGAAGCAGCCACGGCUAACUUCGUGCCAGCAGCCGCGGUAAUACGAAGGUGGCAAGCGUUGUUCGGAUUCACUGGGCGUACAGGGAGCGUAGGCGGUUGGGUAAGCCCUCCGUGAAAUCUCCGGGCCUAACCCGGAAAGUGCAGAG